UAGUAUGGGGAUCUGCCCGAUAGAGGGGGGUAACUACUGGAAACGGUGGCUAAUACCGCAUAAUGUCUACGGACCAAAGCAGGGGCUCUUCAGACCUUGCACUAUCGGAUGAACCCAUAUGGGAUUAGCUAGUAGGUGGGGUAAAGGCUCACCUAGGCGACGAUCUCUAGCUGGUCUGAGAGGAUGAUCAGCCACACUGGGACUGAGACACGGCCCAG
RNAcentral lists this ribosomal RNA (218 nucleotides) under uncultured bacterium. RNAcentral's name for it is "partial 16S ribosomal RNA". It matches the Rfam family "Bacterial small subunit ribosomal RNA", at positions 113 to 334 of the family's 1533-position model. The record is from RNAcentral.